GAUGAAGAACGUAGUAAAAUGCGAUAAGUAGUGUGAAUUGCAGAAUUCAGUGAAUCAUCGAAUCUUUGAACGCACAUUGCGCCCUUUGGUAUUCCUUAGGGCAUGCCUGUUCGAGCGUCAUUUGAAACCUCAAGCUCAGCUUGGUGUUGGGUGUCUGUCCCCGCCUCACCGCGGGGACUCGCCUCAAAAUCAUUGGCGGCCGGUACGUUGGCUUCGAGCGCAGCAGAAACGCGAACUCGAGGCCCGGCGGAUCGGCGACCAGAAGUCACUUCUUCACAGUUUGACCUCGGAUCAGGUAGGGAUACCCGCUGAACUUAAGCAUAUCAAUAAGCGGAGGA
This 338-nucleotide unclassified non-coding RNA is filed under the name soil metagenome. RNAcentral's name for it is "partial contains 5.8S ribosomal RNA, internal transcribed spacer 2, and large subunit ribosomal RNA". The stretch from base 1 to 120 matches the Rfam family "5.8S ribosomal RNA", at positions 35 to 154 of the family's 154-position model. The record is from RNAcentral.